Molecule: transfer RNA, 85 nt
Filed under: Felis catus (domestic cat)
Lineage: Eukaryota; Metazoa; Chordata; Mammalia; Carnivora; Felidae
Rfam family: tRNA
About the family: Transfer RNA (tRNA) molecules are approximately 80 nucleotides in length. Their secondary structure includes four short double-helical elements and three loops (D, anti-codon, and T loops). Further hydrogen bonds mediate the characteristic L-shaped molecular structure. tRNAs have two regions of fundamental functional importance: the anti-codon, which is responsible for specific mRNA codon recognition, and the 3' end, to which the tRNAs corresponding amino acid is attached (by aminoacyl-tRNA synthetases). tRNAs cope with the degeneracy of the genetic code in two manners: having more than one tRNA (with a specific anti-codon) for a particular amino acid; and 'wobble' base-pairing, i.e. permitting non-standard base-pairing at the 3rd anti-codon position.
Source: Rfam by way of RNAcentral
GCCUGGGUGGCUCAGUCGGUUAAGCAUCUGACUUCGGAUCAGGCCAUGAUCUCAUGGUUGGUGAGUUCGAGCCCCACAUCGGGCU